RNAcentral lists this ribosomal RNA (70 nucleotides) under Trichoderma gamsii. RNAcentral's name for it is "partial 28S ribosomal RNA". It matches the Rfam family "Eukaryotic large subunit ribosomal RNA", at positions 1 to 70 of the family's 3401-position model. Lineage: Eukaryota; Fungi; Ascomycota; Sordariomycetes; Hypocreales; Hypocreaceae. The record is from RNAcentral.
UGACCUCGGAUCAGGUAGGAAUACCCGCUGAACUUAAGCAUAUCAAUAAGCGGAGGAAUACAAACCCGCA